This 1079-nucleotide long non-coding RNA is filed under the name Piliocolobus tephrosceles (Ugandan red Colobus). RNAcentral describes it as "lncRNA (ENSPTEG00000012340.1)". The record is from RNAcentral. Lineage: Eukaryota; Metazoa; Chordata; Mammalia; Primates; Cercopithecidae.
CCCGCCCGUCCCAGAGCAGCGGAGGCCCGCCCUUUUCAUCUACAGCCUAUCGCAGAGCACGUUGCCGUUCGCGCUGACCAAUAGGAGUGGUGGCCAUCACGGCAAGCCCCGCCCCGCGCCCUACGUCGGGUUAAGCGGGGUCCCUCGCCAGCCCCGCGCUGAACAUACGCCAGGUGGCGCUGUGGCGCGCGGCGGGGCUGUGUGCGCUGAGGCUGCUGAGCGGCGGGUGAGACGCUACCGUCGGCGGCUAGAAGUGCUCGGCUGCUGGCACCCGGGAGAGGAAGGUCCAGGGCGGGCCGGAGACGUAGGGGUCCGCGUCCCUGCGCCCAGGCCUGGCAGCUCCCCGCACUGUGGGCGCCCCGCACCCCAAGCCCCUGCCAGGGCCUUCCUUGGGCUCCCGCAUCCGAGGCUCUGAGACCGGAGUACGACGGAGCUCCUGCGCCUUCCGGGGCUGGGGGCCGGGCCCGCCCGUGCCGCUCCUGGCGGGGCCCUCCAUUGGCGUGAGCUUUAAUGGGGGUAGUAAAUGGGGCCGGCAGUUGCGGUUCUCGCUGAUGGCUUUGCUCCUAGUUCAUCGUUGUUGGAGGCCGAGUCCUUAAGAGACCCGAGGCGCCCACUGCCCGCUCUUAAAGUCCGGCUGUGUUCAGAGAACUGAAGCCUCCCGGAAUUUAACUGUUUAGGUUUUUUAAUGACUGAAUUUAUGGGGAAAAGACGAAGCGGUUUAGUGUUCAUGAGACGGGAUCUUGCUCUGUUGCCCAGGCUGGUUUUGAACUCCUGGGCUCAAGUGAUCCCCCUCCUCAGCCUCUCACACUGCUGGGCUUACAAGUGUAAGCCAUCUCAUCCAGACACGCACACCGCAGAGCGUGGCCAUGGAACAGUAACCGGGCUUGUGAGAGGGCUCUACAGUAUCAACUAGGAGACAAGAUCCACGGAUUCACUGUCAACCAGGCCCUGGCCCAGCUCCUGUUGCAUGAUGGCUACUCGGCUGAACAGAGCUUGUGAGAGACAUGACCCCCGGUCCCUUCCUGGAAUGUCGCGAAGCCUGAUUCUUGUCAGAUUUGAGAGAGUAACACUUCCAGCUG